CGGGUGCCGACCUAACCCCGACGAAAGGGAGGGCACGCCCGAACCCGACGGUAGGGUCAGCGACUGGGGUG
This 71-nucleotide ribosomal RNA is filed under the name uncultured bacterium. Its description in RNAcentral is "partial 16S ribosomal RNA". The record is from RNAcentral.